RNAcentral lists this ribosomal RNA (441 nucleotides) under uncultured bacterium. RNAcentral's name for it is "partial 16S ribosomal RNA". It matches the Rfam family "Bacterial small subunit ribosomal RNA", at positions 338 to 795 of the family's 1533-position model. The record is from RNAcentral.
CCUACGGGGGGCUGCAGUGGGGGAUAUUGCACAAUGGGGGGAACCCUGAUGCAGCGACGCCGCGUGGGUGAAGGAGUGCUUCGGCAUGUAAAGCCCUAUCGGCAGGGAAGAAGCAAGACGGUACCUGACUAAGAAGCCCCGGCUAAAUACGUGCCAGCAGCCGGGGUAAUACGUAGGGGGCGAGCGUUUUCCGGAUUCACUGGGUGUAAAGGGAGGGUAUGCGGCCAAGCAAGGCAGGGGUGAAAGCCCGGGGCCCAACCCCGGGACUGCCGUUGGAACCGCAUGGCUGGAGUGCGGGAGGGGCAGGCGGAAUGCCUGGUGUAGCGGUGAAAUGCGUAGAUAUCAGGAGGAACACCGGCGGCGAAGGCGGCCUGCUGGACCGCGACUGACGUUGAGGCUCGAAAGCGUGGGGAGCGAACAGGAUUAGAUACCCUUGUAGUC